CAGACACCAGCAGCUUUAACCCUGUUCCACCACCCCGCCCGAUAAUACCCGAAUACAUCACUAAGUACACCACAGUGGUAUCGGUGGAACAGAGGGACAGGUAUGUUGAAGACAUCAUGGCCGCUAGUGACAAAUCCAGCUUCCUUUAUGGUCAUAUCAGAAGGAACCUGCAGCACUUUUUUCUCAGAGAACAACAGCUCAGGUUCAUGUUUCUGGGAUCCGAGUCGUAUCAGGAAAUGUGUGAUCUGAUGCGGCGGGAGUUGCUGAACGCGGUGCAG
Long non-coding RNA from Trichomycterus rosablanca, 278 nucleotides. RefSeq lists it as uncharacterized. The transcript has 3 exons. NCBI's taxonomy places the organism in Eukaryota, Metazoa, Chordata, Actinopteri, Siluriformes, Trichomycteridae. The record is from RefSeq and is a predicted model, not a curated record.